GUAGAUAGUCGCGCAGAGUUUCUCCCUCUCUCUGCUUAAUUUGUUGUAGGUCAAUCUUGUUGCCUGGUCUAGCCAUGGAGCCAGCGAAAUUGUUGGUAAAAGCCUUUGUCAAGUCUGCCCAGGAGUCGAUGGACUUGGGUUUAAGUGACUCGAGCCAGGUCAGUGGUGCGGGUUCCAUGCAUAUGGGAAAAUGAAUGACUUUGGUGUCAUUGUUGCCUCCGGCUGCUUGGACGGCUAGCGAGUAACAGCGUAGCCAUUGAAUUGGAUCUUGCUUGCCAUCG
This 281-nucleotide long non-coding RNA is filed under the name Setaria viridis. RNAcentral's name for it is "long non-coding RNA (SVIR_LNC008931)". The record is from RNAcentral. Lineage: Eukaryota; Viridiplantae; Streptophyta; Magnoliopsida; Poales; Poaceae.